Molecule: microRNA, 20 nt
Filed under: Homo sapiens (human)
Lineage: Eukaryota; Metazoa; Chordata; Mammalia; Primates; Hominidae
Description: hsa-miR-3610
Source: miRBase by way of RNAcentral
GAAUCGGAAAGGAGGCGCCG